CAGAACCAGAACCAGGACCAGGACCAGAACCAGGACCAGGACCAGAGGAGGAGACUUUCUGCUGUUCUGGUGGAGAGGAAAGGUGGAGACCCAGAUGACACACAUCCUCCAUUCUGAAGAGGGAGAAGGGUGUUGUUUCGUCGUGUGUGUGUGUGUGUGUGUGUGUGUGUGUGUGUGUGUGUGUGUGUGUGGCUGUCCAGUCAGAGUGAAGCUGUCUCUGUCUCCUGGUGUUAAUCAGCUCAUGUGUGUCCAUGAAGAGAGAAGAAGUCCUCGGUGUGUCGCUGCUGUUGGCUGCAGAUCUGAGAUCUGUCUGAAAGGUUCUGUUAGACAUGAUGCUGCUGCUUUCUCUCUCAGUGACUGAAGAUGAGUGGUGUGGAUGAAGAGGAGGACGGACCAGAGUGUGUGGACAGACUCACAGCAGAGUCUUCAGGAUCCAGCAGGUUGUCUCUGAAGAGUGACCGGUCCAGACGUCGUCCACCACUCUUCAGUGCUGAACCUGGACCUUCAGACACAAAACUCACAGCAGAGUCUUCAGGAUCCAGCAGGUUGUCUCUGAAGAGUGACCGGUCCAGACGUCGUCCACCACUCUUCAGUGCUGAACCUGGACCUUCAGACACAAAAAAGAGGAAGAGGACUGAUGUGUGUGAGGAGCAGCCAGAAAGAUCCAGAAGCGCCGCUGC
This is a long non-coding RNA of Salarias fasciatus (jewelled blenny), 680 nucleotides long. RefSeq lists it as uncharacterized. The transcript is spliced from 5 exons. Lineage: Eukaryota; Metazoa; Chordata; Actinopteri; Blenniiformes; Blenniidae. The record is from RefSeq and is a predicted model, not a curated record.